AUUGAACGCUGGCGGCAGGCCUAACACAUGCAAGUCGAACGAGUGGCGGACGGGUGAGUAAUGUCGGGGAAACUGCCCGAUGGAGGGGGAUAACUACGGGAAACGGUAGCUAAUACCGCAUACCAUCGGAUGUGCCCAGACGGGAUUAGCUAGUAGGGGGGGUAACGGCUCACCUAGGCGACGAUCCCUAGCUGGUCUGAGAGGAUGACCGGCCACACUGGAACUGAGACACGGUCCAGACUCCUACGGUAGGCAGCAGUGGGGAAUAUUGCACAAUGGGCGCAAGCCUGAUGCAGCCAGGCCGCGUGUAUGAAGAAGGCCUUCGGGUUGUAAAGUACUUUCAGCGAGGAGGCGUUACUCGCAGAAGAAGCACCGGCUAACUCCGUGCCAGCAGCCGCGGUAAUUC
RNAcentral lists this ribosomal RNA (406 nucleotides) under uncultured bacterium. Its description in RNAcentral is "partial 16S ribosomal RNA". It matches the Rfam family "Bacterial small subunit ribosomal RNA", at positions 30 to 526 of the family's 1533-position model. The record is from RNAcentral.